This is a long non-coding RNA of Medicago truncatula (barrel medic), 935 nucleotides long. RefSeq lists it as uncharacterized. The record is from RefSeq and is a predicted model, not a curated record. The transcript is spliced from 3 exons. Lineage: Eukaryota; Viridiplantae; Streptophyta; Magnoliopsida; Fabales; Fabaceae.
UUCACACGCUCAUCAAUCUCAAAUCUCACAAACUCAAAAUCGUUUUUUCUCGAUCAAACUCAAAAUUCACACUUCAUCUAUCUCAAAUCUCACAAACUCCAUUGAUCUCAAACCUCACAAACCUCAUCAAUCUCACCUCAACAAUCUUCUCAAACAAGCUCUGAAUCGAUUCCCUACUGUAUCGAUUUUCAAAUCGAUUUUGUUCUUCAUAUAUUUUGUUCAAAUCGAUUUAGAGAUCUUCAAAUCGAUUUUGCUCUUAAUCGUUCUCAAGCUCACAAACUACAUCAAUCAUCAAAUCUCACAAACUGUAUCGAUCUCAAUCGUCGCCUUCAUCGACCGCCGAUCUUCGAACUCGCUCUGGAUCAUUUUCAAUCGUUGUUGCUAAUGUUGUUCUGUGUCUGUCAUAGUCUAUGAGGAUCACGGCAAACCAGCUUCGUUAGAUUUAGCACUCAACCACCAAUAUUGCACAGAUACCUCACUUGCUGCCCUGUUAAUUGAGGCAACAAGUCAUCUGAUACAGAUAAAUGGUCAUGCCUGGCUCCCUGCAUGCCAGCUGAAAAAGUGUCAGAAUCCAACCAUGUUUGGUUCAAGGAUCCCAUUGUUGAAUUAGGUAACUCUGGCAUGGCAAUGAAAGGGGAAGCUGGUGGUGGAGGCGGUAAUUGAGGCACGGUAAUUGGCGGAGAAGAAUAUGGAAUUUGUUGGGGGGAAGAAUACUGAGCAUGAUCUAGUGCAGUCAUGUUGCAAGCUUCAACCAGCCAAGGAUUGAAUAUGUUUGUAUUUUGCAAGAUUUUAGAUCCAUCCUAGUUAACCUAUGAUAAAGAGAUAAAAAAUGGUAAGAAUCAAUAGCAAUCAUUUGAAAUAUUUGAUAGCUUAGUGAAUAUUUGUAUUUACACAUCAAAAGUUUCUUAUCAAUUGAUAACAUGAGUCAAAAUCAA